GACGAACGCUGGCGGCGUGCUUAACACAUGCAAGUCGAGCGGUAAGGCCCUUUCGGGGUACGACGAGCGGCGAACGGGUGAGUAACACGUGGGUGACCUGCCCUCAGCUCUGGGAUAAGCCUGGGAAACCGGGUCUAAUACUGGAUAUGACUCCAUGACGCAUGUUGUGGGGUGGAAAGCCUUGUGCGGCUGAGGAUGGGCCCGCGGCCUAUCAGCUUGUUGGUGGGGUGAUGGCCUACCAAGGCGACGACGGGUAGCCGGCCUGAGAGGCGACCGGCCACACUGGGACUGAGACACGGCCCAGACUCCUACGGGAGGCAGCAGUGGGGAAUCUUGCGCAAUGGGCGAAAGCCUGACGCAGCGACGCCGCGUGAGGGAUGACGGCCU
RNAcentral lists this ribosomal RNA (387 nucleotides) under uncultured bacterium. RNAcentral's name for it is "bacterial SSU rRNA". It matches the Rfam family "Bacterial small subunit ribosomal RNA", at positions 28 to 417 of the family's 1533-position model. The record is from RNAcentral.